This is a long non-coding RNA of Rosa chinensis, 607 nucleotides long. RefSeq lists it as uncharacterized. The transcript is spliced from 3 exons. The record is from RefSeq and is a predicted model, not a curated record. NCBI's taxonomy places the organism in Eukaryota, Viridiplantae, Streptophyta, Magnoliopsida, Rosales, Rosaceae.
CGGGGGUUUAUUGAGUUGAUUUUGGAGGGAGCCAUUAAUAUCUCGUCUACCAUCGGAAGGAACACAUUUUGAUCCAGCAAUCGGUCACCGGAAGUCCACAUUCACCAUGUGAAGAAUUUGAUGCUAGAAUCAAACAUCUCGGAUGACACGUUCAAGGUUAUUGAAGCAUUGGGGGAUCCUAAUAAUGACAUCUCUAAUUCAUUAAGGUGGAUUGCAGAUGGAGUAAACUCAGAUGUACCAACAUUUUGUAGUUGACCUACUUAAGGCAAUAAUGAAAACUUCGGAGCUCCACUUCAUAUGAUAAUGGUUCUUGUCGAAUGGUAGAUUUCCAGAUUGAGAAAUUGAAUAGGGUUCUUCGGGGGUUCAUUGAGUUGAUUUUGGAUGCAGCCAUUAAUAUCUCGUCUACCAUCGGAAGGAACACAGUUUGAUGUAGGUAAGCUUUCAUCAAUAUUCAGCCAACAUAUCUUCAUGAUAUGAAUUUUUAUGGAGGUGAAGAUGUGAAGUUAAGUGAUUCAAUCAAUGAUGUAAGGGUGCUAAGUUUACGGAAGUAUUUAGCACUCGGUCACCGGAAGUCCACAUUCAUCAUGUGAAGAAUUUGAUGCUUGAA